This 78-nucleotide transfer RNA is filed under the name Mesorhizobium sp. RNAcentral's name for it is "tRNA-Thr". It matches the Rfam family "tRNA". From Rfam's summary of the family: Transfer RNA (tRNA) molecules are approximately 80 nucleotides in length. Lineage: Bacteria; Pseudomonadati; Pseudomonadota; Alphaproteobacteria; Hyphomicrobiales; Phyllobacteriaceae. The record is from RNAcentral.
GCGCUGGUAGCUCAGUGGAUAGAGCAAGGUGGGUCGGUAACCCCUAGGUCGGGAGUUCGAGUCUCUCCCAGCGCGCCA